GGGAGAGUAAUACGUAGAUACGUGCCCUCGGGUUCAGGAUAGCCACGGGAAACUGUGGGUAAUUGUGGAUGAUUGUCUUCGGACCAAAGGUGUGAUUCCGCCCGGGGAUCGGUCUGCGUCCUAUCAUGCUUGUUGGUGAGGUAACGGCUCACCAAGGCUACGACGGGUACGGGGUGUGAGAGCAUGCCCCCGCUCACUGGGACUGANACACUGCCCAGACACCUACGGGUGGCUGCAGUCGAGGAUCUUCGGCAAUGGGCGCAAGCCUGACCGAGCGACGCCGCGUGCGGGAUGAAGGCCUUCGGGUUGUAAACCGCUUUUAGUGGGGAGGAAGGCUCCGUGAANAGCGGGGUUUGACCUAUCCGCAGAAUAAGUGUGGGCUAAGUUCGUGCCAGCAGCCGCGGUAAGACGAACCACACGAACGUUAUUCGGAAUUACUGG
Molecule: ribosomal RNA, 441 nt
Filed under: uncultured bacterium
Lineage: Bacteria
Description: bacterial SSU rRNA
Rfam family: Bacterial small subunit ribosomal RNA
Source: RNAcentral